AUGGGCCCUGUGGCGUUCUCAAUAGUAAAAACUCCUGCAUGCAAAAUGGGGAGUGUAAAUACCACUAUCCCCGGGUAUUCUCAGAUGCUACAUUGCAAGGCAAGGACUCAUAUCCAAUUUAUAGACGCAGGGAUGAUGGCCGUAAAGUGCGCAUUAGGGGAUCUGUUUUGGAUAAUAGAUGGGUUGUGCCAUACAAUCCAUACUUACUUAUGA
This 213-nucleotide ribosomal RNA is filed under the name Triticum aestivum (bread wheat). RNAcentral describes it as "partial small subunit ribosomal RNA". Lineage: Eukaryota; Viridiplantae; Streptophyta; Magnoliopsida; Poales; Poaceae. The record is from RNAcentral.